AGAAUCAACGCUGGCGGCGUGCCUAACACAUGCAAGUCGCACGAGAAAGUGGAGCAAUCCAUGAGUAAAGUGGCGCACGGGUGAGUAACACGUGAAUUAUCUACCUCCGAGUGGGGAAUAACUGAGAGAAAUCUUAGCUAAUACCGCAUAACACUUACGAGUCAAAGCAGCAAUGCGCUUGGAGAGGAGUUCGCGGCCGAUUAGUUAGUUGGCGGGGUAAUGGCCCACAAGACGAUGAUCGGUA
Molecule: ribosomal RNA, 244 nt
Filed under: uncultured bacterium
Lineage: Bacteria
Description: partial small subunit ribosomal RNA
Rfam family: Bacterial small subunit ribosomal RNA
Source: RNAcentral